This 497-nucleotide ribosomal RNA is filed under the name uncultured bacterium. Its description in RNAcentral is "partial 16S ribosomal RNA". It matches the Rfam family "Bacterial small subunit ribosomal RNA", at positions 28 to 507 of the family's 1533-position model. The record is from RNAcentral.
GAUGAACGCUGGCGGCGUGCCUAAUACAUGCAAGUCGAGCGAACGGACGAGAAGCUUGCUUCUCUGAUGUUAGCGGCGGACGGGUGAGUAACACGUGGAUAACCUACCUAUAAGACUGGGAUAACUUCGGGAAACCGGAGCUAAUACCGGAUAAUAUUUUGAACCGCAUGGUUCCAAAGUGAAAGACGGUCUUGCUGUCACUUAUAGCUGGAUCCGCGCUGCAUUAGCUAGUUGGUAAGGUAACGGCUUACCAAGGCAACGAUGCAUAGCCGACCUGAAAGGGUGAUCGCCCACACGGGAACAGAGACACGGUCGAGACUCCUACGGGAGGAAGCAGUAGGGAAUCUUACGCAAUGGGCGAAAGCCGGACGGAGCAACGCCGCGUGAGUGAUGAAGGUCUUCGGAUCGUAAAACUCUGUUAUUAGGGAAGAACAAAUGUGUAAGUAACUGUGCACAUCUUGACGGUACCUAAUCAGAAAGCCACGGCUAACUACGUG